Molecule: non-coding RNA, 24 nt
Filed under: Arabidopsis thaliana (thale cress)
Lineage: Eukaryota; Viridiplantae; Streptophyta; Magnoliopsida; Brassicales; Brassicaceae
Source: RNAcentral
GAUUGGUGCCAAUCGCUAACAACC